Molecule: ribosomal RNA, 468 nt
Filed under: uncultured bacterium
Lineage: Bacteria
Description: partial 16S ribosomal RNA
Rfam family: Bacterial small subunit ribosomal RNA
Source: RNAcentral
GACGAACGCUGGCGGCGUGCUUAACACAUGCAAGUCGAACGGAAAGGCCCUGCUUUUGUGGGGUGCUCGAGUGGCGAACGGGUGAGUAACACGUGAGUAACCUGCCCUUGACUUUGGGAUAACUUCAGGAAACUGGGGCUAAUACCGGAUAGGCGCUCCUGCUGCAUGGUGGGGGUUGGAGAGUUUCGGCGGUUGGGGAUGGAUUCGCGGCUUAUCAGCUUGUUGGUGGGGUAGUGGCUUACCAAGGCUUUGACGGGUAGCCGGCCUGAGAGGGUUACCGGCCACAUUGGGACUGAGAUACGGCCCAGACUCCUACGGGAGGCAGCAGUGGGGAAUAUUGCACAAUGGGCGGAAGCCUGAUGCAGCAACGCUGCGUGCGGGAUGACGGCCUUCGGGUUGUAAACCGCUUUCGCCUGUGACGAAGCGUGAGUGACGGUAAUGGGUAAAGAAGCACCGGCUAACUACGUG